Ceratotherium simum simum (southern white rhinoceros) is the source of this 122-nucleotide non-coding RNA. Lineage: Eukaryota; Metazoa; Chordata; Mammalia; Perissodactyla; Rhinocerotidae. The record is from RefSeq and is a predicted model, not a curated record.
UCUCCUGCUCCACAGCCCAGUGGUGGCAGGUGGAAUCUGCGACCAGAUACUACCACUAUGUGCCAGCAAAGUUCCACCCCAUCAAACAGCAUGAAGAAAUAAAUUGACACUCCAGACCAGAA